This 254-nucleotide ribosomal RNA is filed under the name uncultured bacterium. Its description in RNAcentral is "partial 16S ribosomal RNA". It matches the Rfam family "Bacterial small subunit ribosomal RNA", at positions 524 to 777 of the family's 1533-position model. The record is from RNAcentral.
UACGGGGGGAGCAAGCGUUGUUCGGAUUUACUGGGCGUAAAGGGCGCGUAGGCGGCAAUUCAAGUCAUCUGUGAAAUCUCCGGGCUUAACUCGGAACGGUCAAGUGAUACUGUCGGACUAGAGUACAGAAGGGGCAACUGGAAUUCUCGGUGUAGCGGUGAAAUGCGUAGAUAUCGAGAGGAACACCUGCGGCGAAGGCGGGUUGCUGGGCUGAUACUGACGCUGAGGCGCGAAAGCCAGGGGAGCGAACGGGG